GGUGUAUUGUCUGCUGCUUUGUCUGUUUCCAGCACGGGUUAAUCGGAAUUAACAGCUGGCGGUUGCUGCGCAUGCGCGGAUCCGCCAUACAGAGGAAAUAGCCGGGGAGUAGGUAGCUGCCUGAGAACGAGAGAGCGAAUACCACGGAUACAGCUGGUUUCUCUUCAAACAAUUAUGACCGUCUUUCCGUUGUCGCUUUCUCUCAGGUAUCUGUCUCCCGGUCGCUGAAUGGCGCUGGUUACCGUGCAGCGCUCGCCGACCCCCAGCACCAGUUCCAGCCCCUGUGUUUCGGAGUCUGGCAGUGGGGAGGAUGACCGGCGCUCUCAGCCUAGGAGGUAGGACAGAUGCACACACCCCUGACAUCAUCACUCUUGUUUGUGACACUACAAAUGUCACUCUGUGCCAUUGUGACAUCAGAGAGAGACCAUGUGCAAUUGUGAGAAAUCUGAUGUGUGACAGUAAGCAGGUUUCCAUUGACCCAGGUUUAUUUGCCAAAAGCAACGUUGCAAAUAAAAAUCCUUGAGACGUGUAAUGGAAACGGAAUAUAUAUGGGAUACAUUUUCUAAAGAUUGACAAUAUUUUUAUCCGUUCGACGGGUGGAUUUUUCUUCGGUCUAACUUUUAUUGUGGCAAAUUUAUUUAAUUUAUUUUAUUUCACCUUUUAUUUAACCAGGUAGUCAAGUUGAGAACAAGUUCUCAUUUACAAUUGCGACCUGGCCAAGAUAAAGUAAAGCAGUUCGACACAUACAACAACGCAGAGUUACACAUGGAGUAAACAAACAUACAGUAGAAAAAUAAGUCUAUAUACAAUGUGAGCAAAUGAGGUGAGAAGGGAGGUAAAGGCAAAAAAGGCCAUGGUGGUGAAGUAAAUACAAUAUAGCAAGUAAAACACUGGAAUGAUAGAUUUGCAGUGGAAGAAUGUGCAAAGUACAGAGAGAAAUAAUGGGGUGCAAAGGAGCAAAAUAAAUACGGUAGGGGUAGUUGUUUGGGCUAAAUUAUAGAUGGGCUGUGUACAGGUGCAGUAAUCUGUGAGCUGCUCUGACAGCUGGUGCUUAAAGCUAGUGAGGGAGAUAAGUGUUUCCAGUUUCAGAGAUUUUUGUAGUUCGUUCCAGUCAUUGGCAGCAGAGAACUGGAAGCAGAGGCGGCCAAAGGAAGAAUUGGUUUUGGGGGUGACCAGAGAGAUAUACCUGCUGGAGCGCGUGCUACAGGUGGGUGCUGCUAUGGUGACCAGCGAGCUGAGAUAAGGGGGACUUUACCCAGCAGGGUCUUGUAGAUGACCUGGAGCCAGUGGGUUUGGCGACGAGUAUGAAGCGAGGGGCAGCCAACGAGAGCGUAUAGGUCGCAGUGGUGGGUAAUAUAUGGGCUUUGGUGACACAACGGAUGGUACUGUGAUAGGCUGCAUCCAAUUUAUCAAGUAGGGUAUUGGACAGUUUGGUCAGUUUCACGAAGGUAUGUUUGGCAGCAUGAGUGAAGGACACUUUGUUGCGAAAUAGGAAGCCAAUUCUAGAUUUAACUUUGGAUUGGAGAUGUUUGAUGUGAGUCUGGAAGGAGAGUUUACAGUCUAACCAGACACCUAGGUAUUUGUAGUUGUCCACAUAUUCUAAGUCAGAACUGUCCAGAGUAGUGAUGCUGGAGGGGCGGGCAGGUGCAGGCAGCGAUCAGUUGAAGAGCAUGCAUUUAGUUUUACUUGUAUUUAAGAGCAGUUGGAGGCCACGAUAUGGCAUUGAAGCUCGUCUGGAGGGUUGUUAACACAGUGUCCAAAGAAGGUCCAGAAGUAUACAGAAUGAUAUCGUCAGUGUAGAGGUGGAUCAGACUCACCAGCAGCAAGAGUGACAUCAUUGAUGUAUACAGAGAAGAGUCGGCCCAAGAAUUGAACCCUGUGGUACCCCCAUAGACUGCCAGAGGCCCGGACAACAGGCCCUCCGAUUUGACACACUGAACUCUAUCAGAAAAGUAGUUGGUGAACCAGGCAAGGCAAUCAUUUGAGAAACCAAGGCUAUCGAGUCUGCUGAUGAGGAUGUGGUGAUUGACAGAGUCGAAAGCCUUUGCCAGGUCAAUGAAUACGGCUGCACAGUAUUGUUUCGUAUCGAUGGCGGUUAAGAUAUCGUUUAAGACCUUGAGCGUGGCUGAGGUGCACCCAUGACCAGCUCUGAAACCAGAUUGCAUAGCGGAGAAGUUGCGGUGGGAUUCGAAAUGGUCGGUAAUCUGUUUGUUGACUUGGCUUUCGAAGACCUUAGAAAAGCAGGGUAGGAUAGAUAUAGGUCUGUAGCAGUUUGGGUCAAAUGUGUCCUCCCCCUUUGAAGAGGUGGAUGACCGCAGCUGCUUUCCAAUCUUUGGGAAUCUCAGACGACACGAAAGAGAGGUUGAACAGGCUAGUAAUAGGGGUUGCAACAAUUUUGGCAGAUCAUUUUAGAAAGAAAGGAUCCAGAUUGUCUAGCCCGGCUGAUUUGUAGGGGUCCAGAUUUUGCAGCUCUUUCAGAACAUCAGCUGACUGGAUUUGGGAGAAGGAGAAAUGGGGAAGGCUUGGGCGAGUUGCUGUGGGGGGUGCAGUGCUGUUAACCGGGGUAGGGGUAGCCAGGUGGAAAGCAUGGCCAGCCGUAGAAAAAUGCUUAUUGAAAUUCUCAAUUAUAGUGGAUUUUUUGGUGGUGACAGAGUUGCCUAUCCUCAGUGCAGUGGGCAGCUGGGAGAUGUUCUUAUUCUCCAUGGACUUUAGUGUCCCAGAACUUUUUUGAGUUUGUGUUGCAGGAAGCAAAUUUCUGCUUGAAAAAGCUAGCCUUGGCUUUUCUAACUGCCUGUGUAUAUUGGUUUCUAGCUUCCCUGAAAAGUUGCAUAUCACGGGGGCUGUUUGAUGCUAAUGCAGAACCCCAUAGGAUGUUUUUGUGUUGGUUAAGGGCAGUCAGGUCUGGAGAGAACCAAGGGCUAUAUCUGUUCCUGGUUCUAAAUUUCUAAAUUUCUUCAUCAAAUGACGAUGGAAACUGUGUUUUUUGAAUAAAUUAUGAUUGACAAAUAAUUUUGAAGGUACGCAGGGCACAUGAUGUCACUGCAUAACUAUAAAGCUCACUCCACAAUAGAUACCGCAUUUAAAACAACUGGGACCUCGGAAAAAUAGGUCAAAUCAUGACAUUAGUGAUCCUCAGGUCAGAAAGUCAGAGUUCUAGAAAGAGGCCAGAGUUUCCGAGUCGGAUGGCUGUACAAAUUUCAAUUUUUUUUGCCCAGUUAGAGCUUGUUUUUCCCCCCCAGAGUUCCCAGUUUCGCACUGAAGUCUGCUAUUUCGGAGUUCCGAGCUUCCAGUUGUUUUGAAUGCGGCAUAAUUGUAAAUGCCUAGGUCUUGCGAAAAACUAUUUUAUUUUUUUCAACUACAAGCAUUUUUCUUUGCAGGGAAGUGUUGUCCUGACUUUCAAGAAUGCCUGAAUUGCUUCGCCUUGCUUUUCUGGUUGGCUGGCAAGUUUCACCUCGCAAUUAUUUCAGAUCUACAGGAGUGCAAGUCUCACCAUGGCACAGUCCAUGGGCGAUACGAUGGCACAUGAUGAUUAUAAGAAUAUGGCAAAUAUUAGUCAUUUAUUACAUUCUAUCCAUGCUGGCUUUCGCGGACUACCUGAGACAUGAAACAGAUAGGUGGGAGGGAAAUGUAUUGAUACCCAAUUUGCCUAAAGGGGUAAUGAAAACACUUCAACCACAACAUUUUUAUUCAACACUAGGUUUUUGCGUCAACUUAUUUUUUAGGUGUGGUAUCAUUAUGUCCAGCUGUUUUCAUCGACACAAGAUGGUUCAAUGGAAACGCACCCUAAGCAGGCAAUUGUCACAUGUAUUUUCUAUGCAAACUUUCUAAAUCGAGAAAUCACUGGACAAGUUAAUGGAAACAGCUGGUGACCUCAAGCAGCACCUGUGUGAGCGUUCUGUCCUGUGUGAUUGUGACAUCAUAAAGAACUCCUCUGUGAUUGACUCCAUACAGAACUCCUGUGCUAUUGUAACAUCACAAUGCGAUUCUCCCUUUGUUGCUUAGACCAGUGAGUGUCUGAGCUGUGGAGUCGUUGUAGAUCAGGUUUGUCAUGUCUCUGUCCACAACGGACUCCAGCUGAACCGCUCUCACGUAACAUUGCCUUCUGCUCGUGUGUUCGUCUGUGUGUUUACUAAACAAAGUCUGUACUCGGGCUUCAUCUCUUCCCAAUGCUUUAUUUGUCCCAUUUUUGUCAGAAAGGCUCAGUCAAUGUUGGCACUGCAGUUCUCUGACUGUCAACUAGAGAGCAGUGUAGCUUGUCAGAGCCUGUCAGGAUGUGGGCCAAAAUAAUUAGAACAGAACAUGGAUCACAGGCCAGUUUGGUGUUUCUGUUAUCGCAUUGAGAGAGCUGUCAGUGUUUGUGCAGCUGGGAGUGAAAUCAAUAUUCACAAGGAGCAGCAAUGUGUGUGUGUGUGUGUGUGUG
Oncorhynchus tshawytscha (Chinook salmon) is the source of this 4420-nucleotide long non-coding RNA. The record is from Ensembl. Lineage: Eukaryota; Metazoa; Chordata; Actinopteri; Salmoniformes; Salmonidae.